UACAGAGGUCUCGAGCGUUAGGCGGAAUCACUGGGCUUAAAGCGUGUGUAGGCGGAUCGUUAAGUACCUUGUGAAGUCCCACGGCUUAACCGUGGAACUGCUUGGUAUACUGGCGGUCUUGAGCCAGCUAGGGGCUACCGGAACAAAUGGUGGAGCGGUGAAAUGCGUAGAUAUCAUUUGGAACGCCAAUGGUGAAAACAGGUAGCUGGGGCUGUGCUGACGCUGAGACACGAAAGCCAGGGGAGCAAACGGG
This 253-nucleotide ribosomal RNA is filed under the name uncultured bacterium. RNAcentral's name for it is "partial 16S ribosomal RNA". It matches the Rfam family "Bacterial small subunit ribosomal RNA", at positions 524 to 776 of the family's 1533-position model. The record is from RNAcentral.